AUGGCCGCCGCCGCCAGGUCUCUACUACGCUCCUCCGCCUCCGUUAUCCGUGCUGCUCCGGCGAGAUCGUCUUCCCUCGGGGUAGGCGCGCGUCCUUCCGUCCGUCGCGCGUUGGCUGCGCCCCCUCGCCUCCUCAGGUUGCCCGUGGAGGCGAGCUUCUGCCUGGAGUCCCUGCUGCCGCUGCACAGCGCCACCGCCUCAGCGCGGCUCAAGUCAAUGCUCGCCGUCGUGCCCGGCCAAGGCAUCGGCUGGAUCAUUGAAGAUAAUUGA
RNAcentral lists this ribosomal RNA (270 nucleotides) under Triticum aestivum (bread wheat). RNAcentral describes it as "partial small subunit ribosomal RNA". The record is from RNAcentral. Lineage: Eukaryota; Viridiplantae; Streptophyta; Magnoliopsida; Poales; Poaceae.